AUCAGCACGAACGGUCUUACCAGCCCCUUUCAAUAUGAUUAAAAAGAAAAAGACGAGAUCUUCAAAACCGUUGAACCGCCCAUGACCAGCCACAAACUUUGUACUAUGGAUGUUGUAUUUUCCCUUUUAUGCCUUCAAAUAGACUGCUAGCCUCUGCCUUAUCACCGCUUUGCAGCCGCGGUUCAAAGGCAGGGGAGGAGGAUGACGCCGACAACGUGGAACCAUGGGCUGACACUUGAGAUCCCACCAGCAUUGAUGGUAAGACGUGUGUAAAAUCUCCGCGGGCACUGUGCCGGGACAGCAGUGUGUGCUCUCACUGGAGAGGGGACCGGAGGAAAGACUGGCAGCACCAAACUCGGAUAAGCCACAGCCUUUCCACGAGGGGGACUGCUGAGCAUAUGUUUGCAUGUAUAAUUCAUAUAAACACAUAUGUGAUUAUUUUUAAAAAUAUGGUGGCCCCGCAUCUUCAAGUUUCCAAGGAGAGUCAACAUUUCAAAUAUUCUGUUCAGUCGUUAGAUCACUUAUUCUGAUUUGAGAGCACAGAACAGAUGUCACCUGAGGAAGAGUUUUGAAGCGAAUAAAUCCUUCGGUUGGCUCCUACA
RNAcentral lists this long non-coding RNA (602 nucleotides) under Ursus maritimus (polar bear). Its description in RNAcentral is "lncRNA (ENSUMAG00000005279.1)". Lineage: Eukaryota; Metazoa; Chordata; Mammalia; Carnivora; Ursidae. The record is from RNAcentral.